GGAGUUAUUAAAAUUUCUUUGAUUUGACCUCACGAAAAUAGUUGAGCUAAAUAAUUGUAAUUAUUAGAUUAUCAUAUGUAGCAUAAUAAAAAUAAAUAAUUAUUUAGGGGUGAUAGGCUUAUCAAAACUAUAGAUAUCUUGAUUCUUUUUAAAAACAUUUAGUGUAAUGUCAACUAAAAAAUGAUAAGGUUUUUUAGUGGUAUGAAUAUGUUUUAACAGUUUAAAUCUUAACUUAAUCGUUAGAUUUGCCUAAAUUAAAUUAUUAAUUUACAAUAUAUUAUGGCUUGUAUAAAGAAAUAUUUAAACUGUUUAAAUAAUUUAAAAUGUAACUAUAAGUAACUUAUAUAAAUACAAAAAAUGAACUCGGCAAAUUGCCUUUCAACUGUUUACCAAAAACAUAGCUAUGUGUAAUUAUUCAUAGUAAUUUCUGCUCAAUGAAAACUUAAAUAGCCGCAGUACCCUGACUGUGCAAAGGUAGCGAAAUAAUUUGGCUUAUAAUUGAAGUCUUGUAUAAAUGAAAUUUUGGGGGGCAUCUUUAUUCUUUGUAGAACUUGAAAUUACUAAUUAAGUGCAAAUUCUUAUAUUUAAAUGAUAGACGAGAAGACCCUAGAAAUUUUUAUAAAUUGUAUUUAAUCUUUUUGUUGGGGCAACAAGGUAACAUAAAAUUUACCUUUAAUAACAAGAACAUUUAUGUGAUAGAAUAAAUUACUCUAGGGAUAACAGCGUAAUUUAUAAAAGUUUGCGACCUCGAUGUUGGACUAGGGAACUGUUGUUUAGAAGACAUAAUGUAAGGCUCUGUUCGAGCCA
This 807-nucleotide ribosomal RNA is filed under the name Exiligada calciphila. RNAcentral's name for it is "partial 16S ribosomal RNA". The record is from RNAcentral. Lineage: Eukaryota; Metazoa; Mollusca; Gastropoda; Stylommatophora; Camaenidae.